Molecule: ribosomal RNA, 390 nt
Filed under: Eukaryota sp.
Lineage: Eukaryota
Description: SSU rRNA
Rfam family: Eukaryotic small subunit ribosomal RNA
Source: RNAcentral
CUUUGGACCUAUUUUGUUGGUUUAUAGGACCAGAGUAAUGAUUAAUAGGAACAGUUGGGGACAUUCGUACUUCGUGGUUAGAGGUAAAAUUCUUAGAUCCACGGAAGACGAACAUAUGCGAAAGCAUUUGUCAAGGAUGUUUUCAUUAAUCAAGAACGAAAGUUAGGGGAUCGAAGACGAUCAGAUACCGUCGUAGUCUUAACCAUAAACGAUGCGGACUGGGGAUUGGAGAACGUUUCAUUAUGACUCCUUCAGAACCCUGCGAGAAAUCAAAGUUUUUGCGUUCUGGGGGGAGUAUGGUCGCAAGGCUGAAACUUAAAGGAAUUGACGGAAGGGCACCACCAGGAGUGGAGCUUGCGGCUUAAUUUGACUCAACACGGGGAAACUCAC